Molecule: unclassified non-coding RNA, 353 nt
Filed under: soil metagenome
Description: partial contains 5.8S ribosomal RNA, internal transcribed spacer 2, and large subunit ribosomal RNA
Rfam family: 5.8S ribosomal RNA (bases 1-120)
Source: RNAcentral
GAUGAAGAACGUAGCGAAAUGCGAUAAGUAAUGUGAAUUGCAGAAUUCAGUGAAUCAUCGAAUCUUUGAACGCACAUUGCGCCCGCCAGUAUUCUGGCGGGCAUGCCUGUUCGAGCGUCAUUACAACCCUCAGGCCCCCGGGCCUGGCGUUGGGGAUCGGCGGAAGCCCCCUGCGGGCACAACGCCGUCCCCCAAAUACAGUGGCGGUCCCGCCGCAGCUUCCAUUGCGUAGUAGCUAACACCUCGCAACUGGAGAGCGGCGCGGCCACGCCGUAAACCACCCAACUUCUGAAUGUUGACCUCGAAUCAGGUAGGAAUACCCGCUGAACUUAAGCAUAUCAAUAAGCGGAGGA